Vicia faba (fava bean) is the source of this 246-nucleotide non-coding RNA. NCBI's taxonomy places the organism in Eukaryota, Viridiplantae, Streptophyta, Magnoliopsida, Fabales, Fabaceae. The record is from the annotation of a GenBank genome assembly.
AUGAGUGACGCUUCAGCUCCCCAUUCAUUCAACCUUAUCUCUCCUUCGAACAACUUCUCUCUGAAUUCCUCAUCAGAGCGAUUUACGAUGGCCAACACUAUCGUGAAUCAUCCCUUAGCCUCCUCUAAUCACUACAAAAUCAACACAAACCCUACUUCUUUUACAUUCCUAAUCACGAAUCCCACGUCUUCUUCCAUCAAUUUCCCUUCAAACAUUCUGAAUCUGAGUUUUAUACGUAAACCCUAG